RNA transcript from Lotus japonicus, 1653 nucleotides. It is a transcript of the gene named UDP-glycosyltransferase 71K2-like, with no coding region annotated. The record is from RefSeq and is a predicted model, not a curated record. NCBI's taxonomy places the organism in Eukaryota, Viridiplantae, Streptophyta, Magnoliopsida, Fabales, Fabaceae. The transcript has a single exon.
CCCGCCCCCCCCCCCCCCGCCCCCAGUUUUCAAUCUCUACCACACCAAGGAAAAACCAAAGGAAGAAUAGUUAACAUGAAGAAGAAAUCAGAGCUUAUCUUUAUUCCUUCACCAUUAGUUGGCCAUUUAAGCUCAACCUUUGAACUUGCACAACUCCUUAUCAACACUGAUAACCAUAUUUCCAUCACAAUCCUCAACAUCAAGCCCCUAGCAACCCCCUCUUCAGAGUCCUACCUCAGAACAGUUUCAGCCUCACAACCUCAUAUCCAAAUCAUUGAUGUAGAACAACCACCACAUGAGCAAACUCUUGUACCUCAACCUACAAUAUCCUUCCUCUGGAGCUUCAUGGAGGGGAUCAAACCCCAUGUAAAAUCCACUAUGCAAAACAUUUUAUCAUCUUAUCCUAACAAAGUUGUUGGGUUGGUCCUAGAUUUCCUUUGUGUUCCCAUGGUUGAUGUGGGAAAGGACCUUGGUAUCCCUUCUUAUAUGUUCAUCCCAUCAAAUGCAGGAUUUUUGAGCCUCUUUCUACACUUUCAUAAAAGUGAAAUUGAGGAUUUGUUGAAGGACCCUGAUCCUGAGCUGUUAGUUCCUGGUUUUCCCAGUCCAGUUCCUUCAAGUGUUAUGCCUGAUCAUUAUUAUACAAGAGAUGAAGAAGGAGUUGUUGCCUACUGCAAUUUCACCAAGAAGUACACAGAAACCAAAGGAAUCAUCAUCAACACUCUUUCAGAGUUGGAGCAGUAUGCUAUUGAUGAAUUAUCUGAUGGCCAAACCCCUCCAAUUUAUGCUGUUGGUCCUAUGAUUGAUCUCAAAGGUCCUUCUAACCCAAGUUUGGACCAAGUGAAAAAUAACUGUUUGUUGAAAUGGCUAGAUGAACAGCUACCUGGCUCUGUUGUUUUUCUUUGCUUUGGGAGUAAGGGAAGCUUUGAUCCAUCUCAAACAAGAGAAAUAGCACUAGGACUUCAACAGAGUGGGGUUAGAUUCUUGUGGGCUUUGCGCUCUCGGCCAACCGCAGAUAAUGAAGAGAAAGCUUUACCAGAAGGGUUCUUAGAAUGGAUGGAAGGUAGCAGGAGAGGGAUGUUGUGUGAGUGGGCACCCCAGGUGGAGGUUCUGGCUCACAAAGCCAUUGGUGGGUUUGUGUCUCAUUGUGGUUGGAAUUCCAUCUUGGAAAGCUUGUGGUUUGGGGUGCCAAUAUUGACAUGGCCAAUCUAUGCAGAACAACAGCUAAAUGCUUUUCGGAUGGUGAGGGAUUGGGGAUUAGCAGUGGAGCUGAGAGUGGACUAGCAGAGGAGAUAGAGAAGGGGCUGAAACACUUGAUGGAAAGAGAUAGUAUGGUUCACAAGAAGGUGCUAGAGAUGAAGGAGAUGGCUAGGAAAGCUGUCCUUAGUGGUGGAUCUUCAUUCAUAUCUGUUAGGAGACUUAUUGAUGAUAUGAUAGGUAACAAUUGAUAGGUAUUGUUGUGUUACAUAGAAGGAGAUGCCCCAUUCUAAGAAUCAAUGGCUAAUGGCCUAAUGCAACCCAUCAUUUAGACAAGCAUGGUUGUGAUUCUAAUAGGGCAGUUUUCUUGAUGCAGAUCAUAAAAUGUACUUAUGCAACUGUGACUGUUCUCUCUAUUCUCUUGUGCUUUUCUUAUUGUAUGUAUAAUUUUUUCCACAA